This 1415-nucleotide ribosomal RNA is filed under the name Mammaliicoccus sciuri. Its description in RNAcentral is "bacterial SSU rRNA". It matches the Rfam family "Bacterial small subunit ribosomal RNA". Lineage: Bacteria; Bacillati; Bacillota; Bacilli; Caryophanales; Staphylococcaceae. The record is from RNAcentral.
AGUCGAGCGAACAGAUGAGAAGCUUGCUUCUCUGAUGUUAGCGGCGGACGGGUGAGUAACACGUGGGUAACCUACCUAUAAGACUGGGAUAACUCCGGGAAACCGGGGCUAAUACCGGAUAAUAUUUUGAACCGCAUGGUUCAAUAGUGAAAGACGGUUUCGGCUGUCACUUAUAGAUGGACCCGCGCCGUAUUAGCUAGUUGGUAAGGUAACGGCUUACCAAGGCGACGAUACGUAGCCGACCUGAGAGGGUGAUCGGCCACACUGGAACUGAGACACGGUCCAGACUCCUACGGGAGGCAGCAGUAGGGAAUCUUCCGCAAUGGGCGAAAGCCUGACGGAGCAACGCCGCGUGAGUGAUGAAGGUCUUCGGAUCGUAAAACUCUGUUGUUAGGGAAGAACAAAUUUGUUAGUAACUGAACAAGUCUUGACGGUACCUAACCAGAAAGCCACGGCUAACUACGUGCCAGCAGCCGCGGUAAUACGUAGGUGGCAAGCGUUAUCCGGAAUUAUUGGGCGUAAAGCGCGCGUAGGCGGUUUCUUAAGUCUGAUGUGAAAGCCCACGGCUCAACCGUGGAGGGUCAUUGGAAACUGGGAAACUUGAGUGCAGAAGAGGAGAGUGGAAUUCCAUGUGUAGCGGUGAAAUGCGCAGAGAUAUGGAGGAACACCAGUGGCGAAGGCGGCUCUCUGGUCUGUAACUGACGCUGAUGUGCGAAAGCGUGGGGAUCAAACAGGAUUAGAUACCCUGGUAGUCCACGCCGUAAACGAUGAGUGCUAAGUGUUAGGGGGUUUCCGCCCCUUAGUGCUGCAGCUAACGCAUUAAGCACUCCGCCUGGGGAGUACGACCGCAAGGUUGAAACUCAAAGGAAUUGACGGGGACCCGCACAAGCGGUGGAGCAUGUGGUUUAAUUCGAAGCAACGCGAAGAACCUUACCAAAUCUUGACAUCCUUUGACCGCUCUAGAGAUAGAGUCUUCCCCUUCGGGGGACAAAGUGACAGGUGGUGCAUGGUUGUCGUCAGCUCGUGUCGUGAGAUGUUGGGUUAAGUCCCGCAACGAGCGCAACCCUUAAGCUUAGUUGCCAUCAUUAAGUUGGGCACUCUAGGUUGACUGCCGGUGACAAACCGGAGGAAGGUGGGGAUGACGUCAAAUCAUCAUGCCCCUUAUGAUUUGGGCUACACACGUGCUACAAUGGAUAAUACAAAGGGCAGCGAAUCCGCGAGGCCAAGCAAAUCCCAUAAAAUUAUUCUCAGUUCGGAUUGUAGUCUGCAACUCGACUACAUGAAGCUGGAAUCGCUAGUAAUCGUAGAUCAGCAUGCUACGGUGAAUACGUUCCCGGGUCUUGUACACACCGCCCGUCACACCACGAGAGUUUGUAACACCCGAAGCCGGUGGAGUAACCUUUUAGGAGCUAGCC